AGAAGUGAUUCAGAGCAGCACUGUUGAGAAGGACUUGGGGGUUUGGUCGAUGAGAAAAUGAACAUGAGCUGGCUUCAGUGUGCCAUCUCAUAGCCCAGAAAGCCAACCGUAUCCUGGGCUGCAUCAAAAGAAGUGUGACCAGCAGGUUGAAGGAGGUGAUCCUGCCCCUCUGCUUUGCUCUUGUGAGACCCCACACAAUACUCUUGUGAGUAUUGUGUGCAGUUCUGGUGUCCUCAACACAAGAAGGGCAUGGAGCUGUUGGAGCAAGUCCAGAGGAGGGCCACAAGGAUGAUCAGGGGGCUGGAGCACCUCCCAUAUGAAGACAGGCUGAGAAAGUUGGGUCUGUUCAGCCUGGAGAAGAGAAGGCUGCAUGGAGACCUCAGAGCAGCCUUCCAGUAUCUGAAGAGGGCUACAAGGAUGCUGGAGAGGGACUCCUCAUCAGAGACUGUAGUGAUAGGACAAGGGGUAACAGGUUCAAACUUAAACAGGGGAAGUUCAAGUUGGAUAUAAGGAAGAAGUUCUUUACUGUGGGAGUGGUGAGGCACUGGAACAGGUUGCCCAAAGAAGUGGUAAAUGCUCCAUCCCUGACAGUGCUCAAGGCCAGGUUAGACAGAGCCUUGAGUGACAUGGUCUGGGGUGAGGCAGGGGGGUUUUGAGAUGAAGAACUCUUGACAAGAUUAAGGAUAGCCCAUUGUAAAUAGAAUGUAACUAAGAGACUUGGACCCCAGGUGGACUUUGUAACAGUGAUAAGGAAGAAGGCUUUUCAGUUAUUUUUUAAGGAGACCAGUUAGAACCAACUAAGGAGCUGGCAAACAGACAACGAGACCGUCCAGCUCCAAAGUUCACCCAAAGGAUGAAGCGAUGAAGAAGAUGAUGAAGAAACAGCCACCAGGGGUCCCAAAGAGCACUACCACAUUACUCUGUGCAUGCAGGAAGAAUUUUCUAGAAGUAUGACAUAAUGUACCUGUAGCUUUAUGAAUAUGCAUAUAAUGUAAUUAAUAUGUUUAGUGACAAUAUAAUCACUGCCUGUUUGGUGCUUGAGUGAGACACGCUAGGAGGAGCUAUCCCCCGUAUCUCCCAGUGCCGCAAUAAAGAAUACCUGCUUGUCAA
This is a long non-coding RNA of Neopsephotus bourkii (Bourke's parrot), 1110 nucleotides long. RefSeq lists it as uncharacterized. The transcript has 2 exons. The record is from RefSeq and is a predicted model, not a curated record. NCBI's taxonomy places the organism in Eukaryota, Metazoa, Chordata, Aves, Psittaciformes, Psittacidae.